CCUACGGGUGGCUGCAGUGGGGAAUAUUGCACAAUGGGGGAAACCCUGAUGCAGCGACGCCGCGUGAGCGAUGAAGUAUUUCGGUAUGUAAAGCUCUAUCAGCAGGGAAGAAAAUGACGGUACCUGACUAAGAAGCCCCGGCUAACUACGUGCCAGCAGCCGAGGUAAUACGGAGGGGGCAAGGGUUAUCCGGAUUUCUUGGGGGUAAAGGGAGCGUAGACGGUCCUGCAAGCCAGAUGUGAAAGCCCGGGGCUCAACCCCGGGACUGCCAUUGGAACUGCAUGGCUGGAGUGCGGGAGGGGCAGGCGGAAUGCCUGGUGUAGCGGUGAAAUGCGUAGAGAUCAGGAGGAACACCGGCGGCGAAGGCGGCCUGCUGGACCGCGACUGACGUUGAGGCUCGAAAGCGUGGGGAGCGAACAGGAUUAGAUACCCCAGUAGUC
RNAcentral lists this ribosomal RNA (440 nucleotides) under uncultured bacterium. RNAcentral describes it as "partial 16S ribosomal RNA". It matches the Rfam family "Bacterial small subunit ribosomal RNA", at positions 338 to 795 of the family's 1533-position model. The record is from RNAcentral.